CCUACGGGCGGCAGCCGUAGGGAAUUUUCGGCAAUGGGGGGAACCCUGACCGAGCAAGGCCGCGUGAACGAGGAAGUUAUUCGUAAUGUAAAGUUCUUUUAACAGGGAAGAAAGAGAAAUUUGACGGUACCUGAAGAAUAAGCUCCGGCUAACUACGUGCCAGCAGCCGCGGUAAUCCGUAGGGAGCGAGCGUGAUCCGGAAUUAUUGGGCGUAACGGGGGCGUAGAUGGCAUAGUAAGUCUUUUGUAAAAAGGCUGGGCUCAACCCAGUAGGGCAAAAGAUACUGCAAAGCUAGAGUAUGACAGAGGCAAGUGGAACUACAUGUGUAGCGGUAAAAUGCGUAAAUAUAUGUAAGAACACCAGUGGCGAAGGCGGCUUGCUGGGUCGAUACUGACAUUGAGGCACGAAAGCGUGGGGAGCAAACAGGAUUAGAUACCCGAGUAGUC
RNAcentral lists this ribosomal RNA (446 nucleotides) under uncultured bacterium. RNAcentral describes it as "partial 16S ribosomal RNA". It matches the Rfam family "Bacterial small subunit ribosomal RNA", at positions 338 to 795 of the family's 1533-position model. The record is from RNAcentral.